CCCCCGCCCCCCUACGGGAGGCAGCAGUGGGGAAUCUUGCACAAUGGGGGAAACCCUGAUGCAGCGACGCCGCGUGAGCGAUGAAGCCCUUCGGGGUGUAAAGCUCUUUCGGCAGGAACGAUAAUGACGGUACCUGCAGAAGAAGCUGCGGCUAACUACGUGCCAGCAGCCGCGGUAAUACGUAGGCAGCAAGCGUUGUUAGGAAUUACUGGGCUUAAAGAAUGUCUAGGGGGUGUCGUAAGUUUCGUGUGAAAUCUCCCGGCUUAACUGGGAGGCUGC
Molecule: ribosomal RNA, 279 nt
Filed under: uncultured bacterium
Lineage: Bacteria
Description: partial 16S ribosomal RNA
Rfam family: Bacterial small subunit ribosomal RNA
Source: RNAcentral